Molecule: ribosomal RNA, 254 nt
Filed under: uncultured bacterium
Lineage: Bacteria
Description: partial 16S ribosomal RNA
Rfam family: Bacterial small subunit ribosomal RNA
Source: RNAcentral
UACGUAGGGUGCGAGCGUUGUCCGGAAUUAUUGGGCGUAAAGGGCUCGUAGGCGGCCAACUAAGUCAUACGUGAAAUCCCUCAGCUUAACUGGGGAACUGCGUGUGAUACUGGAUGGCUUGGAUUUGGGAGAGGGAUGCGGAAUUCCAGGUGUAGCGGUGAAAUGCGUAGAUAUCUGGAGGAACACCGGUGGCGAAGGCGGCAUCCUGGACCAAUUCUGACGCUGAGUGAGCGAAAGCCAGGGGAGCAAACGGG